This 391-nucleotide ribosomal RNA is filed under the name uncultured Clostridium sp. RNAcentral describes it as "bacterial SSU rRNA". It matches the Rfam family "Bacterial small subunit ribosomal RNA", at positions 72 to 487 of the family's 1533-position model. Lineage: Bacteria; Bacillati; Bacillota; Clostridia; Eubacteriales; Clostridiaceae. The record is from RNAcentral.
AUUUACUUCGGUAAAGAGCGGCGGACGGGUGAGUAACGCGUGGGUAACCUGCCCUGUACACACGGAUAACAUACCGAAAGGUAUGCUAAUACGAGAUAAUAUGCUUUUAUCGCAUGGUAGAAGUAUCAAAGCUUUUGCGGUACAGGAUGGACCCGCGUCUGAUUAGCUAGUUGGUAAGGUAACGGCUUACCAAGGCGACGAUCAGUAGCCGACCUGAGAGGGUGAUCGGCCACAUUGGAACUGAGACACGGUCCAAACUCCUACGGGAGGCAGCAGUGGGGAAUAUUGCACAAUGGGCGAAAGCCUGAUGCAGCAACGCCGCGUGAGCGAUGAAGGCCUUCGGGUCGUAAAGCUCUGUCCUCAAGGAAGAUAAUGACGGUACUUGAGGAGG